AAAACGCACAGCAGCAGAGUGAGAGAGCCUAAAGAGGAGGAACUGAACUGAACUGAACGAUUCUACUGAAGAUUUCGCAGCAAAGAUUCCGGUACUGUCUUGUUUGUUUCUUUCUAAAUCAAAGCUUUGGUCUUGGGAGUUCCUUGUGAAAUUGACCAUAUAUGGAAGACAGCUUUAGUCGGUUGACUGAUGAUUUGCUCAUCAGAAUCUUGUCCUUUGUCCCAAUCAAAGAAGCGGUGGCUACGUGCAUUUUGUCAAAACGAUGGCGUCCUCUUUGGACAUUGUUGCCAAGGCUGAACUUUAAAGAGCGCCCUGUGCAUUAUAAGGGCAAUCACGAUCCGGGCCGCAUAGUGAAACACUCGAGACCUUGGAACUAAAAGGUAUGAACUUAUUGGAAGUUCCUUCUCGGGUUAGUUUUCAAUCCCUUAAAACGUUGCGCCUUAAAUUGGUCGCGUACCCAGACGAGGAAUCUUUCGUCAGGCUUAUAUCUAGUUCCCCUGUUCUUGGAGAUUUACUUCUGCAGAAUCCGGUUGGCGACAAUAUAGAGACUUUUACCAUUAAUGUGCCUUCCCUUCACCGUUUAACCAUUACUAGAGAUGAGAAAUCCUAUUUGCUGUUUGUGAUACAUUGUCAUUCUUUGAAAGAGUUGGAUAUUGAAAAUGACGACGGUGAAGUAAAUUUGAUUGGUGAUAUGCGCGAGCUUGUCAAGGCAAAUAUUUGGACUUGUGAUAGCAAUGUUUUCAAGUCUCUUACCUUUGUCAAAACACUUCGUCUGACCGUAGAAGACUAUAAGGCCCCGUAUCAUUUUGGUACCAUUUUCUCUCAGCUUGUGUGUUUGGAGUUCCGCGGACAAUGUUACAACUGGUGGGAUUUGCUUCUAAAUGUGCUCCAACAUUCCCCUAGACUACAGAUUCUCACGUUAGAAGAUUGUUAUCGUGAGCAAGUGUGGGGAGAUAGGGAAAUUUGGAUUCAGCCGAGUUGUGCUCCUGAAUGUUUGUACCAUCUCAAAACCUUCGAGUGGAUAGAGUAUGUCGGAAGUCCAAUACAAAAAGAGCUAAUUUGCAAGUCAAUAAAAGACACGAACAAAACCAAAUUAGUAUGACCACGAUCGUAUGAAGCUGAGUUAUGUCCUCAUCAUGUUCUAUCUAUACAUUCUCUAGAAAAGACUGCUGAGCUUCAUCCGAAGAUAACAUUCCGGGAGGAAGGUACGACCAAGCCAAGACUCCACUCCCGAUUGUGAUGGUUGCAGCAAUUGAUCCCCAAAUCCACCUCUGCCUCCUCUUUCUCUUUUCCCCUUCUCGCCUUGCUUCCUCUAAUAA
This is a non-coding RNA of Camelina sativa (false flax), 1319 nucleotides long. The record is from RefSeq and is a predicted model, not a curated record. NCBI's taxonomy places the organism in Eukaryota, Viridiplantae, Streptophyta, Magnoliopsida, Brassicales, Brassicaceae.